This 178-nucleotide non-coding RNA is filed under the name Anaerolineaceae bacterium. RNAcentral describes it as "6S RNA". It matches the Rfam family "6S / SsrS RNA". From Rfam's summary of the family: E. coli 6S RNA was the first non coding RNA to be sequenced, but its function was unknown until recently. It consists of 184 nucleotides that fold into an extended hairpin structure with a large single-stranded internal bulge. RNAcentral also lists the same sequence under 1 other name. Lineage: Bacteria; Bacillati; Chloroflexota; Anaerolineae; Anaerolineales; Anaerolineaceae. The record is from RNAcentral.
UAAACCCUGCUGUGUGCGUGAUGGGUUUCUAGCGUUGAGCCAACGCCACAUGAAUGGGAUUUGAGAUGCGUAGAGGGGAUGCAGUAGCCGAUAAGGCCAGGCAGUAUCCUUGCGAUAGGAAUCCCACCUGCGUAAGCAGGUUCAAAUGACUGAUCUCACACGGCAUGGCGGGGCUUCG